AAAACUCAUCGUUUUACUCGAACGUCAACCAGUUGAACGAGUUGAAUGAAGUAGAAAUAGAAGAAGAAGAAGUAGAAGAAGAAGAAGAAGAAGAAGAAGAAGAGAAGAAGAAGAAGAAGAGAAGAAGAAGAAGACAGACGGGUCGCUCUCUAUUCCCCAUCACCAAAUCGGCUGACUCUUCGCGUUCAACACUGCCACUUUAUUACCGUGGGUCUACCGCAGCAAAGCCAUAGGGAAUGGAUGAAUGAAAGGAGAGGAUCUACCCACACACAGAUGUCUGUUAUAAAAUCGU
This 292-nucleotide long non-coding RNA is filed under the name Neodiprion pinetum (white pine sawfly). RNAcentral describes it as "uncharacterized LOC124220321". The record is from RNAcentral. Lineage: Eukaryota; Metazoa; Arthropoda; Insecta; Hymenoptera; Diprionidae.